GAAAAUACAGUGGCGGUCUCGCCGCAGCCUUUCCUGCGCAGUAGUUUGCACACUCGCAUCGGGAGCGCGGCGCGUCCACAGCCGUUAAACACCCCAAACUUCUGAAAUGUUGACCUCGGAUCAGGUAGGAAUACCCGCUGAACUUAAGCAUAUCAAUAAGCGGAGGAAAAGAAACCAACAGGGAUUGCCCCAGUAACGGCGAGUGAAGCGGCAACAGCUCAAAUUUGAAAUCUGGCCCCUAGGGUCCGAGUUGUAAUUUGUAGAGGAUGCUUUUGGUGAGGUGCCGCCCGAGUUCCCUGGAACGGGACGCCACAGAGGGUGAGAGCCCCGUCUGGCUGGCCACCGAGCCUCUGUAAAGCUCCUUCGACGAGUCGAGUAGUUUGGGAAUGCUGCUCAAAAUGGGAGGUAUAUGUCUUCUAAAGCUAAAUAUUGGCCAGAGACCGAUAGCGCACAAGUAGAGUGAUCGAAAGAUGAAAAGCACCUUGAAAAGAGGGUUAAAUAGUACGUGAAAUUGUUGAAAGGGAAGCGCUUGUGACCAGACUUGGGCGCGGCGGAUCAUCCGGGGUUCUCUCCGGUGCACUUCGCCGCGUCUAGGCCAGCAUCAGUUCGUCGCGGGGGAAAAAGGCUUCGGGAACGUGGCUCCUCCGGGAGUGUUAUAGCCCGUUGCAUAAUACCCUGCGGUGGACUGAGGACCGCGCAUCUGCAAGGAUGCUGGCGUAAUGGUCACCAGCGACCCGUCUUGAAACACGGACCAAGGAGUCGUCUUCGUAUGCGAGUGUUCGGGUGUCAAACCCCUACGCGUAAUGAAAGUGAACGCAGGUGAGAGCUUCGGCGCAUCAUCGACCGAUCCUGAUGUUCUCGGAUGGAUUUGAGUAAGAGCAUACGGGGCCGGACCCGAAAGAAGGUGAACUAUGCCUGUAUAGGGUGAAGCCAGAGGAAACUCUGGUGGAGGCUCGCAGCGGUUCUGACGUGCAAAUCGAUCGUCAAAUAUGGGCAUGGGGGCGAAAGACUAAUCGAACCUUCUAGUAGCUGGUUUCCGCCGAAGUUUCCCUCAGGAUAGCAGUGUUGAGCUCAGUUUUAUGAGGUAAAGCGAAUGAUUAGGGACCCGGGGGCGCUAUAUUGCCUUCAUCCAUUCUCAAACUUUAAAUAUGUAAGAAGCCCUUGUUACUUAGUUGAACGUGGGCAUUCGAAUGUAUCAACACUAGUGGGCCAUUUUUGGUAAGCAGAACUGGCGAUGCGGGAUGAACCGAACGCGAGGUUAAGGUGCCAGAGUAGACGCUCAUCAGACACCACAAAAGGCGUUAGUACAUCUUGACAGCAGGACGGUGGCCAUGGAAGUCGGAAUCCGCUAAGGACUGUGUAACAACUCACCUGCCGAAUGUACUAGCCCUGAAAAUGGAUGGCGCUCAAGCGUCUCACCCAUACCUCGCCCUCGGGGUAGAAACGAUGCCCCGAGGAGUAGGCGGACGUGGAGGUCGUGACGAAGCCUAGGGCGUGAGCCCGGGUCGAACGGCCUCUA
This 1519-nucleotide ribosomal RNA is filed under the name Trichoderma reesei. Its description in RNAcentral is "eukaryotic LSU rRNA". It matches the Rfam family "Eukaryotic large subunit ribosomal RNA", at positions 1 to 1441 of the family's 3401-position model. Lineage: Eukaryota; Fungi; Ascomycota; Sordariomycetes; Hypocreales; Hypocreaceae. The record is from RNAcentral.